CUACGGGACGCAGCAGUGGGGAAUAUUGGACAAUGGACGCAAGCCUGAUCCAGCCAUGCCGCGUGAGUGAUGAAGGCCCUAGGGUUGUAAAGCUCUUUUGUGCGGGAAGAUAAUGACGGUACCGCAAGAAUAAGCCCCGGCUAACUUCGUGCCAGCAGCCGCGGUAAUACGAAGGGGGCUAGCGUUGCUCGGAAUCACUGGGCGUAAAGGGUGCGUAGGCGGGUCUUUAAGUCAGGGGUGAAAUCCUGGAGCUCAACUCCAGAACUGCCUUUGAUACUGAAGAUCUUGAGUUCGGGAGAGGUGAGUGGAACUGCGAGUGUAGAGGUGAAAUUCGUAGAUAUUCGCAAGAACACCAGUGGCGAAGGCGGCUCACUGGCCCGAUACUGACGCUGAGGCACGAAAGCGUGGGGAGCAAACAGGAUUAGAUACCCGAGUAGUC
This 439-nucleotide ribosomal RNA is filed under the name uncultured bacterium. RNAcentral describes it as "partial 16S ribosomal RNA". It matches the Rfam family "Bacterial small subunit ribosomal RNA", at positions 339 to 795 of the family's 1533-position model. The record is from RNAcentral.